GGGGGAAACAUCAGAUGUGUGAUCACUCUACAGACUGCUCUGACAACUCGGACGAGAUGGGCUGCUACCCGACUGAAGAGCCGUCCUCCCAGCCCACCAACACCAUCGGCUCCAUUGUGGGCGUUGUCAUGGCGCUGUUUGUGGUGGGCGCGGUCUACUUGGUGUGCCAGCAGUUCUCUGUCCCCAGAUGAAGGACGCACCGGGAGACGGUAACCAACGACCCCUCUGUUUCCCUGGGUUACGGCCCCUCUGUUUCCCUGGGUUACGGCCCUCACCCUGCCUCUCUGUCCGGGUCUCUGCCAGGUAUGUCCAGGGGAAAGUCUGUGAUUGGUUCGUUGAGCAUCAUGGGCGGGUCCAGCGGCCCUCCGUACGACCGCGCCCACGUGACCGGAGCUUCCUCCUCAAGCUCCUCCUCCACCAAGGGCACGUACU
Salmo salar (Atlantic salmon) is the source of this 432-nucleotide non-coding RNA. The record is from RefSeq and is a predicted model, not a curated record. Lineage: Eukaryota; Metazoa; Chordata; Actinopteri; Salmoniformes; Salmonidae.